GUUGUUACGACCCGGCUCAGCCAGGGGAAAGGGAAGUAACAUUAAAGAAACCUAGGUGGUAAGGUUUAACAAUUUAGAGGUUUAUUGUUUGGGUUUUUGACAAAAA
Molecule: long non-coding RNA, 106 nt
Organism: Poecilia latipinna (sailfin molly)
Lineage: Eukaryota; Metazoa; Chordata; Actinopteri; Cyprinodontiformes; Poeciliidae
Exons: 2
Source: RefSeq, a predicted model, not a curated record